This 1451-nucleotide long non-coding RNA is filed under the name Dicentrarchus labrax (European seabass). Its description in RNAcentral is "lncRNA (ENSDLAG00005028971.1)". The record is from RNAcentral. Lineage: Eukaryota; Metazoa; Chordata; Actinopteri; Moronidae.
AAGCUGCCAAGGGAAAGGUCAAGGUAACAGUGGAAACAGUGACCCUGCAAGUGAAUAAAGACAAGGAAAAUGUGCAGGGGAAAACCGCCAAAGUAGAGCAAACACUCUUCCAGAAAAAGGAGCAGAAGAAGGGGUCUGAAGCCAAAGACACUGACGCUAAACCCAAAGUGGCUACUAAUGCUAAAGCAGGUCUUGUUAAAACAGAAUCAAAACAAGAAGCUUCUGUUAAGAAAAUAACUGUUAAAGACUCUUCAAGCGCCAAAAAGAUCAGUCGUCCAACUGUUGCUCAAGUUCUGUUGAAACAUGAGGGAAGAAAGCAAGAAGAGGCCCGGAAAGGCAAAACAACAGUCAUGACCUCUAAAAAGGUCCUCCAAAAAAAUGAUGUCAAACUUGUUAAGGAAACAAUUACCAGUAAAACAUAUCCCAAAUCUGACCAACUAAAAGAUGAACCUCAAACCAAUGUGACCCAAAGUAACGUGAAGAAAUCUAAUGGCACAGCUAAAAUUGUGACAGUUCUGUCAAAGGUCAUGGGAACAAACAAAACCAGAGCAGGAAAGACCAUUGAGCAGUCCACACUGGCUGAGAAGAACGUCACUCAGUCAUCUGGACAGAAACAAAUCAAGAAGGUCAAAGUAGACAAUACAAAUGUGCAAUCUGUUGACAGCAGAAACACUGAAGCUGGAAAGACUGGAAAAGAGAAACAGAGGAGUCAGUAUUUAGUGAAUGCAACCAUUGCAGCAACGUCAGGCGAGGCUCGAGUUCUGCAGAACAAAACAACUAUCCAUGGCUCUGGGAGUGCAAAGAGGAUGGGAGGGUCUGGAUUAGGUUCUGUAAAAGUUGUAAACAUCUCUUCCUACAGCUUCACUGUCACAUGGUCAGCUCCACAAGGGAUGUUCAAGAACUUCACUGUGAUCAGAAGAGAACCACGGACAGGGGAUGACGAAGACGACCACGAGGAGUUCGAAGAGGAAGCUCUUGAAGGGGACAAGACCUCCACAGCUAAGAACACAACUGUGGUCCAGGUACAGAGCGAGAGCACCAACACAACUGUCACCUCUGGUAAAGCUGUAGCAUCUAGAGGCAAAGCUGAAACCAAGAGGAUCUCCAUGGUAGUCCCUGGCAGCGUACGCUCUGUGGAGUUCAGUAACCUUCGGGCAAACACAGGCUAUGUCCUGCACAUUUAUGGUGCUGCAGCUGAGAGAAGAUCAAAGAUUCACAGAGUAACUGCAAUUACAGGUCCUGAGCCAGCCACAGAGAUGGUUUUCAGCAAUGUAACAGAGUCUUCUUUCACUGUUUCCUGGUCCAAACCAAAGACCCCAUUCACAGGCUUCAGGGUCACAUAUACCAACAUUAUCACAGGUCUGUCAAAGGCUUUGCAUAAUGCAUCUCAGGUCAAAAUCCUCUUGUUUAAUAUCAGUCAGUGUAAUAUUUGUGAUGUGUCAUCCUGCUAG